RNAcentral lists this ribosomal RNA (253 nucleotides) under uncultured bacterium. RNAcentral's name for it is "partial 16S ribosomal RNA". It matches the Rfam family "Bacterial small subunit ribosomal RNA", at positions 524 to 776 of the family's 1533-position model. The record is from RNAcentral.
GACGUAGGGUGCGAGCGUUGUCCGGAUUUAUUGGGCGUAAAGAGCGUGUAGGCGGUUUGGUAGGUCCGUUGUGAAAACUCGAGGCUCAACCUCGAGACGCCGAUGGAAACCAUCAGACUAGAGUCCGGAAGAGGAGAGUGGAAUUCCUGGUGUAGCGGUGAAAUGCGCAGAUAUCAGGAAGAACACCCGUGGCUAAGGCGGCUCUCUAGUACGGUACUGACGCUGAGACGCGAAAGCGUGGGGAGCGAACAGG